RNAcentral lists this long non-coding RNA (208 nucleotides) under Mytilus galloprovincialis (Mediterranean mussel). Lineage: Eukaryota; Metazoa; Mollusca; Bivalvia; Mytilida; Mytilidae. The record is from RNAcentral.
AAAGAUGACUGAUUUUUGCGUCUGUCCCAAGUGAGGAACCUUCGGCCUUUGUUAGUCUUGUAUGAUUUUUAAUUUUAAUUUCUUGUGUAUAUUUCGGAGUUAAGUAUGAAACUUGACUAUACACAAGAAAGUAUUCUUGUUAACAACUUUACUUGAUAAUUUAACCGGAAUUAAUUUCUGCUCGAGUAUUGCCGCCGAGAAAACUACA